GAGUUUGCACGUGCUCCCCGUAACCGCGUGGCUUUCCUCCGGGUGCUCCGGUUUCCUCCCACAUCCCAACGACGUGCGGCUUUGUAGGUUACUUGGCCCUCUUUAAAUUGCCCUUAGUGUGCAGGCAGUGA
Molecule: long non-coding RNA, 131 nt
Organism: Amblyraja radiata (thorny skate)
Lineage: Eukaryota; Metazoa; Chordata; Chondrichthyes; Rajiformes; Rajidae
Exons: 3
Source: RefSeq, a predicted model, not a curated record